AAGAACUGGACAAAAUUAAAAUGCUCUUCUGUCAUUGUAAUAGUUCAUAUGGGCACUGACAGGAGAGCAUUUUAACUUUGUCAAGUGUGUCUGCU
Molecule: microRNA precursor, 95 nt
Organism: Rhinopithecus roxellana (golden snub-nosed monkey)
Lineage: Eukaryota; Metazoa; Chordata; Mammalia; Primates; Cercopithecidae
Source: Ensembl